GGAGGAAAGCAGGGGAUCGCAAGACCUUGCGCUCUUGGAGCGGCCGAUGUCUGAUAGCUAGUUGGUGAGGUAAAGGCUUACCAAGGCGACGAUCAGUAGCUGGUCUGAGAGGACGACCAGCCACACUGGGACUGAGACACGGCCCAGACUCCUACGGGAGGCAGCAGUGGGGAAUUUUGGACAAUGGGGGAAACCCUGAUCCAGCCAUGCCGCGUGAGUGAAGAAGGCCUUCGGGUUGUAAAGCUCUUUCAGCCGGAACGAAACGGUCACGGCUAAUACCUGUGACUACUGACGGUAGCGGAAGAAGAAGCACCGGCUAACUACGUGCCAGCAGCCGCGGUAAUACGUAGGGUGCGAGCGUUAAUCGGAAUUACUGGGCGUAAAGCGUGCGCAGGCGGUUUUGUAAGUCAGAUGUGAAAUCCCCGGGCUUAACCUGGGAACUGCGUUUGAAACUACAAAGCUAG
This 464-nucleotide ribosomal RNA is filed under the name uncultured Pseudomonadota bacterium. Its description in RNAcentral is "bacterial SSU rRNA". It matches the Rfam family "Bacterial small subunit ribosomal RNA", at positions 198 to 644 of the family's 1533-position model. The record is from RNAcentral. Lineage: Bacteria; Pseudomonadati; Pseudomonadota.